AGAGUUUGAUCCUGGCUCAGAACGAACGCUAGCGGUAUGCCUCAAACAUGCAAGUCGUACGCGAAAGUUUCUUCGGAAAUGAGUAGAGUGGCGCACGGGUGAGUAACACGUAGCUAACGUACCUUUUCGCUGUGGAUAACUCCUCGAAAGAGGAGCUAAUACAGAAUGGUCUGAAGGAAUCUGCGGAUUCUUUCGGUAAAGUCGCAAGACGCGAAGAGAUCGGGCUGCGCUCCAUUAGCUAGUUGGUAAGGUAACGGCUUACCAAGGCUACGAUGGAUAGCUGGUCUGAGAGGACGGCCAGCCACACUGGAACUGACACACGGUCCAGACUUCCACGGAAGGCAGCAGUUGGGAAUUUUGGACAAUGGGGGAAACCCUGAUCCAGCAAUACCGCGUGAGUGAUGAAGGCCUUCGGGUCGUAAAGCUCUUUUAGUUGGGAAAAAGGGCAACUUGAUGGUACCAACAGAAAAAGCACCGGCUAACUCUGUGCCAGCAGCCGCGGUAAUACAGAGGGUGCAAGCGUUGUUCGGAAUUAUUGGGCGUAAAGCGCGUGUAGGCGGUUUUCUAAGUCUGAUGUGAAAUCCCUUGGCUCAACCAAGGACGUGCAUUGGAUACUGGAUCACUAGAGGACGAGAGAGGUGAAUGGAAUUCCCGGUGUAGGGGUGAAAUCCGUAGAUAUCGGGAGGAACACCAGAGGCGAAGGCGGUUCACUGGCUCGUUACUGAC
Molecule: ribosomal RNA, 726 nt
Filed under: uncultured bacterium
Lineage: Bacteria
Description: bacterial SSU rRNA
Rfam family: Bacterial small subunit ribosomal RNA
Source: RNAcentral